This 279-nucleotide ribosomal RNA is filed under the name uncultured bacterium. Its description in RNAcentral is "partial 16S ribosomal RNA". It matches the Rfam family "Bacterial small subunit ribosomal RNA", at positions 506 to 784 of the family's 1533-position model. The record is from RNAcentral.
UGCCAGCAGCCGCGGUAAUACGGAGGGGGUUAGCGUUGUUCGGAAUUACUGGGCGUAAAGCGCACGUAGGCGGAUUAGAAAGUUGGGGGUGAAAUCCCAGGGCUCAACCAUGGACGUGCAUUUGAUACUGGAUAGCUUGAGUAUUGGAGGGGGUGGUGGAAUUCCCGGUGUAGAGGUGAAAUUCGUAGAUAUCGGGAGGAAUACCGGUGGCGAAGGCGGCUCACUGGCUCGAUACUGACGCUGAGGUGCGAAAGUGUGGGGAGCAAACAGGAUUAGAUA